This is a long non-coding RNA of Salvelinus fontinalis (brook trout), 1504 nucleotides long. RefSeq lists it as uncharacterized. The transcript has 2 exons. Lineage: Eukaryota; Metazoa; Chordata; Actinopteri; Salmoniformes; Salmonidae. The record is from RefSeq and is a predicted model, not a curated record.
UAUAUCUUUGGUCUAGCCGUCUAUCUAGUAGCUGUUAGCUUAUUACAAUAGCUAGCUAGCUGUAUUUGAUACGUAUGUGUACAGUUCUAGGAGAGAUAGGAUAUUUGUAACUAGCUGAUUUGUUGACGAACAACAAAUAACAACGUUCAGAAAGUGGCGGAAGAUCCCUGACUCUCUGGCCACUGGUGUGAUCUGGAGGAGGCAGUGUUGAUGUUGUUGCAGUUAUGUCAGAAGCCAUCCUCACCUUCCAGUACCAGUUCAAUGGAGUCAUGGAAACGGUCCUCAAAACCGCUGUGCAUGAGAUCAAUCGGCUGGGGAAGGACAACUUCCUGGAGGAAGUGACACAGAGCAAGCAAGAAGUGGAGUCUUGAAGGAGCGGCUGCAGCAGUGUGAACAGAGAUGGAGAGACAGAGAGGGGGAGAGGAAGAGGAGGGAAGUUGAAGAGAAAGAGCAGAGUGGGGUGUGUAGGAGAUGUGGUUGUGCUGGAGACAAUGAGAUAGAAGAGGCACUGUCAGGUGAGUGAGGAGAGAUGCACACACCCACACGAUAUAGGAUCUAUAACUUUGUUCUGUUCCAUCCUCAGGAGAAGAGGAAGGUUGUGUUAUCAAACAGGAGAUGUUCCAGUCAGGUGGACCCAGUGCUUUCCCAGAGAUAGAGGGUCCACAGGAAACGGCCACACCUAGCUCUUUGUCUCUGAAAGGAUGGAAGAGACAAAGGCCCAAGUGGUCCAUAUCAAAGAAGAGCUCAAUGACUGGGUGGACUUGGUUUCCCAGAUGAUCACAUCCACAGUUUCCCCCAUAAUCAGCCUGAGUCGUCUACAGAGAUUGAGCUCACAUCAUGGGGGAUAGAUCAGGGAGCCUCUUCCUCCAUUACCAUUGGCCAGGAAGAAGCAAGACCUUCUCCCAAGGUUAGUUAUACCCACCCAGGGGACAGAGCAUGCUGUGGGGGCCCUCGAGACCAGCCCCUAUGGCCUGAUGAUCAACACAACGGCACAUCUGAGGGUCAAACCCUUCAGCUGUCCACACUGUGGGAAGAGCUUCCCUCAGCUCUGAAACCUGAAAGACCACCAGAAGUACCACCACACAGGGAAGAAGGCCUUCACCUGCUCCCAGUGUGGUAAGGGUUUUGUGUACAUGUCCCACUUCAGGGUACACAUGCAGUGCCACACGGGGAACAGGCCAUUCAGCUGCUCUCAGUGUGGGAAGAGCUUCAGCCUUCAGAGUGGCUUGAUGAAACACAUGGGCAUUCACACUGUAGAGAGAGACCUUACCACUGCACGGACUGUGGUAACAGAUUCAAUUCUAGAGCGGACCUGAAAAGACAUGAACAGAUAGAUUCAUGCAGCAAGGUAGACCUUUGAGAUGAAGCAGGUUGAUUUAGAAAAUCAGAGGAAAUAACUGCCCACGUGUACUAUGUUCAAUGUAUCUAUUAGUUGCUGAUUCAUUUAAUGUUGAGAGGUAUAAAACUCUUUAUGAAUAAAUUAUUCUCAUCCUUUCUUAAUAAA